CCCCUGGCCCCAGAAGCACUUCAUUUGGGCUCCCAACAGCUUAACUCUUUAUUACCGAUCAACCAUGAGCUCCCAGAUACCUCAGAAUUAUCCCACUGAGACGGAGUUGUCUUCAGCCGCCUGGUCAACAGGGAUCUGCGGGCCUCCUACACCUAUCUCUCUCUGGGCUUGUAUUUCCACCAUGAAGGAUAUGGCUCUGGAGAACUUGGAACACUGUUUUAUGGAAAUUGGCUGAGGAGAAGCACGAGCGUGAACCUCUCUUGAAAAUGCAAAACCAGCGGCAGUAGCCACUUGCUGGAGUUGGGUAAAACCCAGGACUCUGUGGAAGCCGCCAUUCUGAUUGUCCGCGCAGACUCCCACCUCUGUGACUUCCUGGCGACCGGCUUCCUAGACAAGAAGGUGAAACUCAUCAAGAAAAUGGGCAGCUACCUGACCAACCUUCACAGGCUGGCUGGUUCCCAGGCGGGGCAGGGCGAGUAUCUCUUCCAAAGGCUCACCUCCAUCAUGACUAGUAGCCUCCGAAGCCCAGCAGCCUUUGAGGAGCCCCUCUGGUGACAGCGCUUCUGCCUGAAGCCCCUCUCUGCAGCCACUAAGUAGCUUUUUAAGCACUCUGGAGCUCUCUCCCAAGCCUUGGACCAUAUGGAAACUGUAAAGCUUUUUGCAGAAAAAACAGAAGGAAAGGAAAGAAAAAAAGCCUGCAUGAAGGUUAUUUAUCAGAUCAUACUUAAAGGGAAGUGAUUAGUUGUGUGGCCUCAGGCAAGUCCUUUAU
Bos taurus (domestic cattle) is the source of this 769-nucleotide long non-coding RNA. NCBI's taxonomy places the organism in Eukaryota, Metazoa, Chordata, Mammalia, Artiodactyla, Bovidae. The record is from Ensembl.